ACCUCAGUCCACUGUAUCAGUUUCGACAUUUCAACAAAUUGCUAUCACCAGAAUGCAGUACAAUGUGCAAUAUGCAAUAUGCAUCCUGAUGAUGUUUGGAAAUAGGACAGACAGUAUGGACUUGUGUGUACUUCAAGAAGUAUGUGCACCAAAUUCGUAACUCACAUACCAACAAAAAUUCAUCCAGUGUUGUUCCCCUGACUGUGUCUGUUUUAUAGGAAGUAGGCUGUUGGCGUGGAAAUGACAAAUGGAUCACUUUCAGAUGUCAACGAUUUUGAUUUUUUCAUUUUCACAAUGUCAUCCGAAAAUGUAUGUGUUGGUCUAUGUCCAUACCACUGUGUGUUUCUCUCAAUUCUCUCUGCCCUGACUUCUGUGCAGAAUGCAACCCUCGCCUUGUGCAACUACUAUAUUUGCACAGCACCCUCCCUGUCACUAACAACCAGCGGCUACAGAUAUUGGAAAGAUGUUUAGUGCGGUUCCAGAAGGAUGUGACAAGUCGGCAUUCAGGUCGAAUGUAUGAUAUGCUGUCAUACUUCAUUGGCCCAAAGUACACCACUGGCAUAUCUCUGGUUGAUGGUGUGGAAGUUCAGGCAUUCUGCAUAUUCAACCAAGACCAUGAACCAGUGAAGACUGAAGCGUAUCCAGCUGAUGUAUACAACGGUGUAUCAGUCGAUAUGACUGCAGCUAGGCGUCAUGGUUUCAGUGUUGUGGCAUGUCGGGGUGUGAGUGACACACGGUUACUACGUCAUCCUAUACGUACACCUAACGGAUAUAACACUCUUGAGGCAUCGGUACUCAAAUCUCAAGGAUGUUACAUUAUUCCGAUGGUACUCAAACAUGGCGCUCGGCACUCUCAGAAAAGCAGCCACACUAUCCCGGAUUUGCUGAUCAAUUAUCCGUACCACAUCACCGUGUUCAAAGACCUGUUACCCGCCAAGCAGUGAUGGACAUACACACUGAUGUCAUAGUCUACAAGAUGAUAUCUCUGAACAGCAGUAUACUCUGCAGAGUUGUGCCGUGAGGAAGUGUGUGAUAUCAUGUGAGGCUGGAGUAUGAGGUCCGAUUUGUGAUUACUAAGAAAGUUGUGGACAUCUCUUUUUGUCUUGUGAUUGAAGGUUUAAUUUCUUUGAUUCCUCGCCACUUUUUCUGCUGAGCUGAUCACUGAGGAAGUUGGUGCUGCCCCUUGUUUAAUUCCACUCCAUUGGCUGAGUAACUGAGUACAGCCGAUGUGAGAGGGUAGUGCUGCUAGUGCUAGUGAAGUAUGCGUGUUGAUUGUGUUUUUGAAAUCCAGGCAUUGUUGAGUUUGUGCGUGAAUGUUUGCGUGUCUGUGCAUUCAGUUCCCAAUUCUUUUUUCCUUGUGCGUGCAUAUACAGUACAGUGUACUUUGAUAUUGUGAAUCCUCCACAUGACAUUGUGUGUUUUCAGCUUCCAUUGUCCAUAGUAUGCAUAG
This is a long non-coding RNA of Sycon ciliatum, 1450 nucleotides long. RefSeq lists it as uncharacterized. The transcript is spliced from 3 exons. Lineage: Eukaryota; Metazoa; Porifera; Calcarea; Leucosolenida; Sycettidae. The record is from RefSeq and is a predicted model, not a curated record.